RNAcentral lists this ribosomal RNA (814 nucleotides) under uncultured bacterium. RNAcentral's name for it is "bacterial SSU rRNA". It matches the Rfam family "Bacterial small subunit ribosomal RNA", at positions 100 to 928 of the family's 1533-position model. The record is from RNAcentral.
GAAGGGGAAAAGGGGCAACUACCAUAAGAGGGGAAACAGGAAAGAGUAAUACGCAUAAGUAUGAGGUGCAGACCUAAAUAGUAAAGUGGGUUUUACAAGUAUCAAUUAUGGAUGGGCCGGUUUGAUUAGUUAUUGUGGGGUAGAAGCUUACCAAGGCAACGAUCAGUAGCCGGCUGAGAGGGUGGACGGCCACAUGGGAUGAGACACGGCCCAGACUCUACGGGAGGCAGCAGUGGGGAAUAUUGCGCAAUGGGGGAAACCCUGACGCAGCGACGCCGCGUGAGCGAUGAAGGCCUUAGGGUCGUAAAGCUCUGUUGUAAGGGACGAAUGUUUAUCUGGCGAACAGUCAGAUAAAGUGACGGUACCUUACCAGCAAGCCCCGGCUAACUACGUGCCAGCAGCCGCGGUAAGACGUAGGGGGCGAGCGUUGUCCGGAAUUACUGGGCGUAAAGAGCACGUAGGCGGAUAAUUAAGUCAGAUGUGAAAGACCGGGGCCCAACCUCGGGGUUGCAUCUGAAACUGGAUAUCUUGAGGGCAGGAGAGGAAAGUGGAAUUCCUGGUGUAGCGGUGAAAUGCGUAGAAAUCAGGAGGAAUACCAGUGGCGAAGGCGACUUUCUGGACUGACCCUGACGCUGAGGUGCGAAAGCGUGGGUAGCAAACAGGAUUAGAUACCCUGGUAGUCCACGCUGUAAACGAUGGAUACUAGGUGUGGGAGGUAUCGACCCCUUCCGUGCCGGAGCUAACGCAAUAAGUAUCCCGCCUGGGGAGUACGGUCGCAAGGCUGAAACUCAAGGAUUGACGGGGGCCAGCACAA